This 492-nucleotide ribosomal RNA is filed under the name uncultured bacterium. Its description in RNAcentral is "partial 16S ribosomal RNA". It matches the Rfam family "Bacterial small subunit ribosomal RNA", at positions 29 to 507 of the family's 1533-position model. The record is from RNAcentral.
AGUGAACGCUGGCGGUAGGCCUAACACAUGCAAGUCGAACGGCAGCACAGUAAGAGCUUGCUCUUGCGGGCGGCGAGUGGCGGACGGGUGAGGAAUACAUCGGAAUCUACUUUUUCGUGGGGGAUAACGUAGGGAAACUUACGCUAAUACCGCAUACGACCUACGGGUGAAAGCAGGGGAUCUUCGGACCUUGCGCGAUUGAAUGAGCCGAUGUCGGAUUAGCUAGUUGGCGGGGUAAAGGCCCACCAAGGCGACGAUCCGUAGCUGGUCUGAGAGGAUGAUCAGCCACACUGGAACUGAGACACGGUCCAGACUCCUACGGGAGGCAGCAGUGGGGAAUAUUGGACAAUGGGCGCAAGCCUGAUCCAGCCAUACCGCGUGGGUGAAGAAGGCCUUCGGGUUGUAAAGCCCUUUUGUUGGGAAAGAAAAGCAGCAGGUUAAUACCCCGCUGUUCUGACGGUACCCAAAGAAUAAGCACCGGCUAACUUCGUG